GACGGUACUUGAGGAAUAAGCCACGGCUAAUUCCGUGCCAGCAGCCGCGGUAAUACGGGAGUGGCAAGCGUUAUCCGGAAUUAUUGGGCGUAAAGCGUCCGCAGGCGGCCUUGAAAGUCUGUCGUUAAAGCGUGGAGCUUAACUCCAUUUCGGCGGUGGAAACUACAAGGCUUGAGUGUGGUAGGGGCAGAGGGAAUUCCCGGUGUAGCGGUGAAAUGCGUAGAUAUCGGGAAGAACACCAGUGGCGAAGGCGCUCUGCUGGGCCAUAACUGACGCUCAUGGACGAAAGCUAGGGGAGCGAAAGGGAUUAGAUACCCCUGUAGUCCUAGCCGUAAACGAUGAACACUAGGUGUCGGGGGAAUCGACCCCCUCGGUGUCGUAGCUAACGCGUUAAGUGUUCCGCCUGGGGAGUACGCACGCAAGUGUGAAACUC
This 433-nucleotide ribosomal RNA is filed under the name uncultured bacterium. Its description in RNAcentral is "bacterial SSU rRNA". It matches the Rfam family "Bacterial small subunit ribosomal RNA", at positions 471 to 902 of the family's 1533-position model. The record is from RNAcentral.